GGAUUACCCAAGUCCGGCUGAAGGGAACGGUCUUGAAAACCGUCAGGCGGGUAAAACCGUGCAAGGGUUCGAAUUUCCUUGGUCUA
This 86-nucleotide transfer RNA is filed under the name Enterococcus faecalis. RNAcentral's name for it is "tRNA-Ser". The record is from RNAcentral. Lineage: Bacteria; Bacillati; Bacillota; Bacilli; Lactobacillales; Enterococcaceae.